UCCACGUUUUCCGCGCCGUAGCUAACGCAUUAAGUGCCCCGCCUGGGGAGUACGGCCGCAAGGCUAAAACUCAAAGGAAUUGACGGGGGCCCGCACAAGCGGCGGAGCAUGCGGAUUAAUUCGAUGCAACGCGAAGAACCUUACCAAGGCUUGACAUGGACCGGACCGCCGCAGAAAUGUGGUUUCCCCUUUGGGGCCGGUUCACAGGUGGUGCAUGGUUGUCGUCAGCUCGUGUCGUGAGAUGUUGGGUUAAGUCCCGCAACGAGCGCAACCCUCGUUCCAUGUUGCCAGCGCGUAAUGGCGGGGACUCAUGGGAGACUGCCGGGG
RNAcentral lists this ribosomal RNA (327 nucleotides) under Arthrobacter sp. RNAcentral's name for it is "bacterial SSU rRNA". It matches the Rfam family "Bacterial small subunit ribosomal RNA", at positions 831 to 1157 of the family's 1533-position model. The record is from RNAcentral. Lineage: Bacteria; Bacillati; Actinomycetota; Actinomycetes; Micrococcales; Micrococcaceae.